GGGAGUGGCAAGCGUUAUCCGGAAUUAUUGGGCGUAAAGCGUCCGCAGGCGGCCUUUCAAGUCUGCUGUUAAAGCGUGGAGCUCAACUCCAUCAUGGCAGUGGAAACUGAUCGGCUUGAGUAUGGUAGGGGCAGAGGGAAUUCCCGGUGUAGCNGUGAAAUGCGUAGAUAUCGGGAAGAACACCAGUGGCGAAGGCGCUCUGCUGGGCCAUUACUGACGCUCAUGGACGAAAGCCAGGGGAGCGAAAGGGAUUAGAUACCCCUGUAGUCCUGGCCGUAAACGAUGAACACUAGGU
RNAcentral lists this ribosomal RNA (295 nucleotides) under uncultured bacterium. Its description in RNAcentral is "partial 16S ribosomal RNA". It matches the Rfam family "Bacterial small subunit ribosomal RNA", at positions 527 to 821 of the family's 1533-position model. The record is from RNAcentral.